This 350-nucleotide ribosomal RNA is filed under the name uncultured bacterium. Its description in RNAcentral is "bacterial SSU rRNA". It matches the Rfam family "Bacterial small subunit ribosomal RNA", at positions 355 to 696 of the family's 1533-position model. The record is from RNAcentral.
UGGGGAAUAUUGCACAAUGGGCGCAAGCCUGAUGCAGCCAUGCCGCGUGUGUGAAGAAGGCUCUAGGGUUGUAAAGCACUUUCAGCAGUGAGGAAAGGUUAGUAGUUAAUACCUGCUAGCUGUGACGUUAACUGCAGAAGAAGGACCGGCUAACUCCGUGCCAGCAGCCGCGGUAAUACGGAGGGUCCGAGCGUUAAUCGGAAUUACUGGGCGUAAAGCGCACGUAGGUGGUUUGUUAAGCUGGAUGUGAAAAGCCCUGGGCUCAACCUGGGAACUGCAUCCAGAACUGGCAGACUAGAGUACGGUAGAGGUGAGUGGAAUUUCCUGUGUAGCGGUGAAAUGCGUAGAGA